AUUUAAUUACAUUAGAUUAUAACACAUCUUAAAAAACGUUACCAAAUUACAUUAAAAACAAUAAACGUUUUAUUAUUAUUUUUUUUAAUGGAUAAACGUUUUAUUAAUAAGCUUGAUAUAAAAAAUAAAAAAAAAAGUAAAAAGAUACAGUAAGACUCUCUCAAUCUUUCUCUCUCCCAUUUCUCCUCAUCCCCGAUUGUCUCUUCCAUUUCUCCAAUCAUGCUCAUGGAAUUCUAGCAAUCAUUCUCGCGACUUCUCUAAACCACCUGAAAAGCUUUCGUAUCCUCAACAAAUAGGUAUGUUCUUACUCAACUGCUGAAAAAUUGUCUCAAUCCAAUUGAAAUAAAGCACUGGUGAUGCCUCGUCGGAACCAUCACCGUCACCGCCAUCAACUUCUGUCCCCCAAACUUUUCUCUGUCCAACGACAACAGUGGCUGGUGUAAUCCUCCGCUCCAGCACUUCGAUUUGGCCGAGCCUGCUUUCCUUCAAAUUGCUCGGUACCUUGCUGGAAUUGUGCCAGUUGUAUUCAGAAGGUUGAUCCUCUCACUCACCAAGUUAAACUCUGCGAUUUUGGAAGCGCAAAGAUGCUAGUCAAAGGCGAAGCCAACAUUUCAUACAUAUGCUCACUAUUCUAUCGAGCUCCAGAACUUAUAUUUUGGUGCUACUGAGUAUACUACUUCAAUUGAUAUCUGGUCAGCUGGUUGUGUUCUUGCAGAGCUUCUUUUAGGCCAGGUUUGUAUUACAGUUUAGCAUUCCAAGAUUUAGUUCUUGAUGUCCCUAUUGGACCAUUUGCCAUGAAGGUUGGUAUUGAUUUUGCAAGAGAGCCUGAUGCAUUUUUGUGGAGGCCUACUUCAGGGAUGACUUGUAUUGAAGAAAGUGUAGGAAGUGUUAUUGCUUGGCCAGCCGACAAAGUCAUAAUGAGGGAUAACUAGUAUCGAAGAUAGUGUUGGAAGUGUUACUGCUUGGCUUGCCGACAAAGUUAUAAUGAGGUGAUGAAGAUAGCGACAAGAGAAUUGGAUGCUUGCAAUUAAUAAAGAGAUAGUAUUGGACAAAUGUUACAAUUUGCCUUUUAUUAGACUUAUUAGACAUAUUAUUUCUAAGCAUAAACUUUUAUUAUGGUAUUUUGCACUUGAAUUUUUUUUUAUUUAUGACGCAUGUAUUGGAUAUUUUGGUUGAUAAAAAAAUACAUUUAGACUUUAUCAAAUUCAAAUUACAUUAUUAAAUAAUAAAUUGCUUUAUCAAAUAAAUGUAAUUAAAGAUAAUUUAAUUAUAUUUUGAAAAUAUAAUUAAAGAUAAUUAGAUUACAUCUUGAAAAUGUAAUAAAAGAUAAUUAGAUUACAUCUUUAAAAUGUAAUCAAAGAUAAUAAGAUUACAUCUUUAAAAUGUAAUCAAAGAUAAUUAGAUAACAUCUUGAAAAUGUAAUUAAAUGACAAAAUAUAAUUAACAUAAAGAAUCAUAACAUCUAGAUAAUGUUACUAUUGACAAUAUAUAACACCGAAACAAUGUUAUAAUAGUCUAUUUAAUAACAUGAAAAAAUGUAAUCAAAUAAUGGCAAGACUUUUAAUAACAUGGGCAGACUUAACACUUGCUAAAGUGUUAUAAAUUGCAUUUGAUAACACUUUUUGAGAGUUAUCGUAAAUGUUUUUUCUUGUAGUGAAAUUUAUAUAUAAAUCUUCUUUUAAAGACUAUUAUAUAUGCUUAGUAUUAUAUUUUAUUAAUUACUCUUUAGAGUUUUUAGACUUUUCUAGUGUGAUAGAGUUCGGGCAGACACUUAGUUCGCCAGAAGUAAUUUGGUGGUGCACCGUGUUACUUGUUCUCUGUUGUAUCAUGGGAGAUAGACGUCGAAAAUCCUUCGGCACCAAUGGAAGGUGACGAAUCUAUUUAAAGGAAACUAUGUGCUACACGGGCCUCAAAUAUCCUUUUGUUGAGAAUACACCAAUAGUUAAUUUCCUCAAGUCUUUAUAUUUGCUAUUAUUAUUAUUUAUUAUAAUUGCUAGUUAGAUUAAUUAUAACUAUUAGUUAUAUUAUAAUUAUAAAUUAUUUUAUUUAUAGUUAUAAUAAUAUUGUUAAUUAUAAUUGUUAAGCUAGAUUAAUUAUAAUUUUUAGUUAGAUUAUAAUCAUAAAUUGUUUAUUUAUAGUUAUAAUAUUAUUGUGUAUCUUUAUUUGAUAGAUAGAUUGUUUAUUACCAUGCUAUAUUAUUCAAAUGUUAUAUUAUAAAUAUUUAGAACUACAAUCUUAAAACAUAUUCUUUUUCUUUAAUAUAAUAUUUGAAUGUUUAAUAUAUCUAUGAUUUAUGAAAUAAUGUUAUUGCUUAUAUGUUAAAUCGCUCUUUGUGAUUUGGAUAUAUUAUGUGCAUGCACUGUGUCUGCUAGAAGUUCGUUUGAACUUAAACAAAAUCUCACUAGAGAAGUUCUGUCGAGGAAGUUGGGUUUUAAGUGGGACCAUUGUGACCCCUCCAGACUAUCCUGGGAAUUGAAUAUUUUCAAAAGAAUUGCUGCGGCAGGGGCACGACCCUCCUAGCCUUCUUUGUAAAUUAUCUAGCAAAGGCAAUAUGACAACUGAAACAAACCAAAGUGGUGGGAACGAUGACAUGUCAGCUGAGACUCCAAUUCUGGUUGUUUAAGCUCAUACCCAAACAAUUUCAGCCUUGGUUAAUAUGAGUCAUCCUUUGAGCUUUGGGGAAAGACCUGAUAAUUUCAAUGGACAAAAUUUCAAAAGGUGGCAACAAAAUAUAUUCUAUCUGUCUACCAUGAAUUUUGUGAGAUUCGUGACUGAUAACGAAUAAAUGUUGAAAGAAGAUGAGGAUGAUAUCCAAAUAAUUAAUGUUGUUAAUGAUUGGAUCAAAUCUAAUUUUCUCUGUCGUAACUAUGUUAUGAAUGGUCUUGAAAAUUCUUUGUAAGAAAUUUAUGCUACAAAGAAGAUAAUUAAAGAACUGUGGGAGUCUUUAGACCAGAAAUAUAGAAUUGAGGAUGUUGCACAAAGAAAUUUGUGGUUGGGCGGUUCCUUGACUAUAAAAUGGUAGAUUCCAAGACCGUGAUCAGUCAAGCUCAGGAAUUCCAAUUAAUCUUACAUGGGAUUUACUCUGAGGGAAUGAUCCUGAUUGAGACCUUUCAAGUAGCUGCUUUGAUUGAAAAGCUACCCCUUGCAUGGAAGUUGUUCAAGAGAUACCUUAAGCAUAAGUGGAAGAAGAUGAUCAUUGAGGAAUUAAUUGUUAGACUUUGUAUCAAAGAAGAUGAGGCCAAUCUGAUGGAGCAAGGUUGAAACUCAUCAAUGGGAAAUGUUAUAAUCUAACAACCUCAAUUUGUAUAUUACUAAAACCAACAAUUCACAUAAACCAGAAAUUA
Molecule: long non-coding RNA, 3344 nt
Organism: Humulus lupulus (European hop)
Lineage: Eukaryota; Viridiplantae; Streptophyta; Magnoliopsida; Rosales; Cannabaceae
Exons: 6
Source: RefSeq, a predicted model, not a curated record